GUGCCAGCCGCCGCGGUAAUACGGGGGGAGCAAGCGUUGUUCGGAUUUACUGGGCGUAAAGGGCGCGUAGGCGGCCAGUGCAAGUCAGUUGUGAAAUCUCCGAGCUUAACUCGGAAAGGUCAACUGAUACUGCUCGGCUAGAGUGCGGAAGGGGCAACUGGAAUUCUUGGUGUAGCGGUGAAAUGCGUAGAUAUCAAGAGGAACACCUGCGGCGAAGGCGGGUUGCUGGGCCGAC
RNAcentral lists this ribosomal RNA (235 nucleotides) under Staphylococcus warneri. Its description in RNAcentral is "partial 16S ribosomal RNA". It matches the Rfam family "Bacterial small subunit ribosomal RNA", at positions 505 to 738 of the family's 1533-position model. Lineage: Bacteria; Bacillati; Bacillota; Bacilli; Caryophanales; Staphylococcaceae. The record is from RNAcentral.